Molecule: transfer RNA, 78 nt
Filed under: Lancefieldella rimae ATCC 49626
Lineage: Bacteria; Bacillati; Actinomycetota; Coriobacteriia; Coriobacteriales; Atopobiaceae
Description: Atopobium rimae ATCC 49626 tRNA-Lys
Rfam family: tRNA
About the family: Transfer RNA (tRNA) molecules are approximately 80 nucleotides in length. Their secondary structure includes four short double-helical elements and three loops (D, anti-codon, and T loops).
Source: RNAcentral
UGGAUCGUUAGCUCAGCUGGCAGAGCAGGGGACUCUUAAUCCCAAGGUCCAGGGUUCGAACCCCUGACGAUCCACCAG